CAGCUUAGCACUCGGGAGUAAGUCAGAUAGGGAAGAGAGUAAGCAUAAUGAUGGCCAGAAAAAAUGGCUUGCUUCGUCUCACUGGGCUGCUGCAGCUCAAUUUGCCCUUGCCGUCAGUCUCACCUCAUCACAGAAUGACCUGAAAAGAUUGGAAGUGGAAGAAGAGAAUAGCAUACUCAAGAAAACAAGGGAUGCUGUGAUAACUUUGCAGGGGGUUCUGGAAAGGAAGCAUGAUAGAUUGAUAGAGAAAUCGAGGAAUCUUUAGACCAAUACCAAAUAUCCUCAGACAGUUGGUGGUCAUCACUCUACAAGAUGAUUGAAGGUCUUGCAAUGAUGAGCAGACUGGCCAGGAGCAGGCUUCAUCAAUCAGACUUUGGUUUUGAUGAUAGAUCAAUUAACUUUGAUCAAGUUGAUAUGUAGCCAAAGCUGCACUGUUAUAUAUUACCUCUGCUUCAAAAUAAUUGUUCAUUUGGACAAACAAUUAUUGUGAAUUGCAGGGAAUAUAACAUGUGCCACAGUCCCACCAACUGACUCACAUACCCAAGGUUGUGCUAACUCUAUUUUUGGCAAUGUAGCUCCAUCACUCAGCCAUGAGACAUGAGUUCGAAAAUGCAAUAAGUUUCAUUUUGAUCUUAAUCCAGCAAUUAACCCAAUUUCCCUUA
Long non-coding RNA from Arachis duranensis, 662 nucleotides. RefSeq lists it as uncharacterized. Lineage: Eukaryota; Viridiplantae; Streptophyta; Magnoliopsida; Fabales; Fabaceae. The transcript is spliced from 2 exons. The record is from RefSeq and is a predicted model, not a curated record.